Molecule: long non-coding RNA, 893 nt
Filed under: Carassius auratus (goldfish)
Lineage: Eukaryota; Metazoa; Chordata; Actinopteri; Cypriniformes; Cyprinidae
Description: lncRNA (ENSCARG00000029271.1)
Source: RNAcentral
UGGUGUGUUACCUCUAUUAAACUUCUGGCAGUAACAAUUUAAGGUCGAACAGGUUAUAUUUAGAACGUAAUCGUGUAGAUGCCAAUAACCAUGAACGGUUACUGAGUAAUAAUUGGACCGUUCUUCAUGUAUAUUAAUGAGUAAAUCCGCGGAGAUUGAUAGUGAAGGUUGAGAAAUACUGAUCUUAUUCAAAUCCCUUAAGUUAAUACUGUAAUAAGGAGACCAUCUUUGAAACAAUUACGAAAGUCGUGAAUGUACAAGUGGAAAAGUUUACAAGCCUAUCUGCUGUAAGGACAUUCUUGCUGUGUAGAUUGCUCCAGAAGAAUUUGCUGUGAAUAUCACAUCUGUGAAGGCAAAACAGCACUUCUCCUUUUGGUCAUUUAUCCUAAAUCUUCCUUCAUAUCGUGCCUGGAAGCUUGGUUUGAAGAAAGGUAAGAUUUCUGUUUUAUUAUAUUGUAAUUUUGCAAUUAUUUUAAACAAUUCAAGGAUCACAAUAACAACCCUUUAUUUCGAAAGCAGUGAUGUCUGGUACAAAGGGGAAAUAUGCAGAUAAAUGGCCCAGAUAGCCAAGCUGGAGUGACAAAGGUUGUUACAAUUUCAGUCAUAAAUGCUUUAAAAUAUUUCCAUAUGACAUAUAGGUGCUUCGCAAUGAAUUAGAAUGUCGUGAAAAAGUUCAUUUAUUUCAGUAAUUCAACUGAAAUUGUGAAACUUGUGUAUUAAAUCAAUUCAGUGCACGCAGACUGAAAUAGUUUAAGUCUUUUGUUCUUUUAAUUGUAAUGAUUUUGGCUCACAUUUAACAAAACCCCACCAAUUCACUAUCUUAACAAAUUUUAAUACUUCAUAAGACCAAUAAAAAAAAAUAUAAAAAAUUGUGAAUUGUUUGCCCUCUGGAA